AAGAAUGUUUUGAAGCGGAUCAUAUGGUUAUAACAUUAGAACAUGCUUUGGCCAUGAGAUCGGUUUUACCAAUAAGCUCUGAAAUUGCCGUUGGCUUUGAUUUUAUUAUGAACUAUGGCCCGUGGGAACCAAAGGGACCUGGCGAGGGAGAAGAACCAGAAGAAACAGAAAGAACUGGAGAGAAGGAAAGGAGCUAACGAAAAAGGGACAAACUGCGGCUUAAGCUUGGAGCAGAGAAAACAAAGGGACGCUGACGCGAUGCGUGAAAAACAGAAAAAGGCCAUGUCAAGCAAAGGAAGCGACACCAACUAAUUUACCAAUACCGUCACUAUUUGUUUGUUGUUGCUUCAUUUCAUCAGCCUUCUUCCUUCCUUGCCCAUUUUCACGUUGAAAAACAAACUGUAAUCACCAUUUUUAAAAAUAAAUUUAUAUUAUAAACAAUAGCAUAUUGUUUAUACUUAUCCUAA
Molecule: unclassified non-coding RNA, 467 nt
Filed under: Cimex lectularius (bed bug)
Lineage: Eukaryota; Metazoa; Arthropoda; Insecta; Hemiptera; Cimicidae
Description: putative SERF-like protein, transcript variant X4
Source: RNAcentral